UACGUAGGGUGCAAGCGUUGUCCGGAAUUAUUGGGCGUAAAGAGCUCGUAGGCGGUCUGUCACGUCUGCUGUGAAAACUCGGGGCUUAACCCCGGGCCUGCAGUGGGUACGGGCUGACUAGAGUGCGGUAGGGGAGACUGGAAUUCCUGGUGUAGCGGUGAAAUGCGCAGAUAUCAGGAGGAACACCGGUGGCGAAGGCGGGUCUCUGGGCCGUAACUGACGCUGAGGAGCGAAAGCGUGGGGAGCGAACAGG
This 253-nucleotide ribosomal RNA is filed under the name uncultured bacterium. RNAcentral describes it as "partial 16S ribosomal RNA". It matches the Rfam family "Bacterial small subunit ribosomal RNA", at positions 524 to 776 of the family's 1533-position model. The record is from RNAcentral.